CAGCAGCCGCGGGAAUACGUAGGGUGCAAGCGUUAAUCGGAUUUACUGGGCGUAAAGCGUGCGUAGGCGGCUAAUUGAGUCGGAUGUGAAAUCCCCGAGCUUAACUUGGGAAUUGCAUUCGAUACUGGUUAGCUAGAGUGUGGGAGAGGAUGGUAGAAUUCCAGGUGUAGCGGUGAAAUGCGUAGAGAUCUGGAGGAAUACCGAUGGCGAAGGCAGCCAUCUGGCCUAACACUGACGCUGAGGUACGAAAGCAUGGGGAGCAAACAGGAUUAGAUACCCCGGUAGUCCCUGUCUCUUAUAC
RNAcentral lists this ribosomal RNA (301 nucleotides) under uncultured bacterium. RNAcentral describes it as "partial 16S ribosomal RNA". It matches the Rfam family "Bacterial small subunit ribosomal RNA", at positions 509 to 807 of the family's 1533-position model. The record is from RNAcentral.